CCUACGGGUGGCAGCAGUGAGGAAUAUUGGUCAAUGGGCGGAAGCCUGAACCAGCCAAGUAGCGUGCGGGAUGAAGGCCCUACGGGUCGUAAACCGCUUUUGCACGGGGAUAACACCCUCCACUUGUGGAGGUCUGCAGGGACCGCGCGGAUAAGGCCCGGCAAAUUCCGUGCCAGCAGCCGCGGUAAUACGGAAGGCCCGAGCGUUAUCCGGAUUUAUUGGGGUUAAAGGGAGCGUAGGCGGGCGUUAAAGUCAGCGGUAAAAUCGCGCGGCUCAACCGCGGCCCGCCGUUGAAACUGGGCGCCUUGAGUUCACGAGAGGAAGGCGGAAUUCGUGGUGUAGCGGUGAAAUGCAUAGAUAUCACGAGGAACCCCGAUUGCGAAGGCAGCCUGCCGGGGUGCGACUGACGCUGAGGCUCGAAGGUGCGGGUAUCAAACAGGAUUAGAUACCCUUGUAGUC
Molecule: ribosomal RNA, 459 nt
Filed under: uncultured bacterium
Lineage: Bacteria
Description: partial 16S ribosomal RNA
Rfam family: Bacterial small subunit ribosomal RNA
Source: RNAcentral